AUGGGGAGUUUCCAGUAUCCUCUGGAAACUUCCAGUAUCCAGAGGAUACUGGAAACUCACCUGGACAAAGGAAGUGAGAUAGUGCCUGGGGCGGGGGAAGGUGAAGUGUUGGCUCUCUUCACAGGAUCACUUCAGGCACAAGUCCUUGCCCAGGGACCAGGUGAACAUUGCACAGGCAGCCAGAACCAAUGGCCAGCCCACUGUGAAUCUGCAUCAGCAGGAAGGAGCUUGAGUGAGGAGGGGCAGCUCUGUAGGCAAUGGAGCAGAGAUCAGAGACAGACUUGCACUGGGCCCAGACUCAGCUUCAGAAGACUCUGGAAGCUGCUUGUUGCCCAGUAUUUUCCACUGCAACCCCAGGCAGACUUAGACUGCAUCUCUACCUGCUGGACACCAAGGAGAUCGACAACCCUGCUUUUAGCUUUCUCUUUGGAAUAUGGAGAGUAAAACUUCACUAAUACUCCACCUUUAUUCCAAGGACUGUUUGUGGCAGCUUCCUGAUCCCUGGAUUGUAGCUACGGCGCUAUGUUCUCAAACUCAGUAUUUCAGCGGCCAUCGGAGACUGCAGCUCCCCAGGUGGGUUAGUUCAGUAGUGUUCUGGGAAUCAUUCCUAAAGGCCCUGCCAUAGUCUGCUUCUCCAGCUUUUCAAGUGAUUUUGUAAGCACUUAAUGCUCUGCAUUAAGCUCCUUUUUCCUUAAGAAUAUUGAGAUACUGUGAGUUUCUGUUUCCUGUUCUAAACCUUGCCUGAUGCGGGCAUUUAGAAGAUAAUUAUAACACAACUCAAUAAAUGCUAUUAAAAAUAGUGUGAACA
This 808-nucleotide long non-coding RNA is filed under the name Felis catus (domestic cat). Its description in RNAcentral is "lncRNA (ENSFCAG00000043353.2)". Lineage: Eukaryota; Metazoa; Chordata; Mammalia; Carnivora; Felidae. The record is from RNAcentral.